This 368-nucleotide ribosomal RNA is filed under the name uncultured organism. Its description in RNAcentral is "bacterial SSU rRNA". It matches the Rfam family "Bacterial small subunit ribosomal RNA", at positions 526 to 896 of the family's 1533-position model. The record is from RNAcentral.
CGUAGGAGGCAAGCGUUGUCCGGAUUUAUUGGGUUUAAAGGGUGCGUAGGCGGUCUUGUAAGUCAGUGGUGAAAUACGGCAGCUUAACUGUCGAGGUGCCAUUGAUACUGCAGGACUUGAGUACAGACGAGGUAGGCGGAAUUGACGGUGUAGCGGUGAAAUGCUUAGAUAUCGUCAAGAACACCGAUAGCGAAGGCAGCUUACUAGACUGUAACUGACGCUGAUGCACGAAAGUGUGGGGAUCAAACAGGAUUAGAUACCCUGGUAGUCCACACUGUAAACGAUGAUUACUCGAUGUUGGCGAUACACAGCCAGCGUCUUAGCGAAAGCGAUAAGUAAUCCACCUGGGGAGUACGCCGGCAACGGUG